Non-coding RNA from Malus domestica (apple), 2305 nucleotides. Lineage: Eukaryota; Viridiplantae; Streptophyta; Magnoliopsida; Rosales; Rosaceae. The record is from RefSeq and is a predicted model, not a curated record.
UCAGUUCGGCAUCCCUCUUCCUGCAAACCUUCCAUUUUAUUUUUCAGCCCUCUCUCGGAUCUCUUCUCUGUUCUCUCGGACCCCAUCCAUGGUGGAGCGACACAGGCAUGUCUGAUUCCUCUAUAAUAGUGCUCUGGUCCGCAACACUGAGACCCAAACGAGCAGAUCUAAAACAGGUCGUCCAAAAAUCCUCCCUUUGCAGUUUCCUCGCAGAUUGAUGCAUCCGUAGCCUUCCAUAACCCAACAACAACGCACCUCCGUGAGUACCCCGCCGUGGUGGAAAAUCGAAAAAACGGAAACCCAAAGUGUGAAGAGCCCUAAUGGUUUCAAAUCCGAGACAACAACACAAGAACACACCCUGAGUCAGCAGCUCAGCUCAACCAAGGAUCUGCAAAUGUUGAGCGUAUAACCGAGAGAAAACAAGCUUAAGCUGCCGGUCUAAUGGUCCCAGAAGGCAAAAUAAACAGCAAAUGUCUUGGCCGCUACAAAUCAUGAAGGGGUAUACGGAUCCAUGAUAGAGCCAAGGAAAUAGAAGUAAACACACAAGCUUAACGGAUGAAAACAGCACAGGCCGCAUGACCCAGAUCGGUGCAUCUGGGAGGUAAAAUUCGAAUCCCUCAACUUUACAAGGAAUGGGGAAAGAUGAAUAUACUAAUACACUUCGUUUUCUCUUCAAUAUCAGUGAUGAAUACACUUCGUUUUCUCUUCAAUAUCAGUGAUGAAUACACUUCGUUUGCAUCUUUCUUGAUAAUAUUUCCCCACUUUCCCUUUAAAAUAUUUGAAAGCGCUGCUGAUUUUGCGUUUGUAUUUACUUUGUUAGGAAUUGAUAUUAGGAGGUGUUAAAUGGACCGUUGGAAUUGGGUUUCGAGUCUCUGAGGGACAUAAUGAGAUGGGUUAUUGAUAAAAGGGUUAGGAGGAGAAGGUGGACAAGAAACCAGUACAUUGGAUGCACAAUAUCAGUGAUGAACACUUUUCCCUUUCUUUGUUUAGAAAAAAUUUGAAAGAGCCACUGGUUUUGAAAGUGCUUAAAUGCAAAGAUUAUUUGCAAAAUUCUGUUUAAAUUUUUUAAUGUUUAGAUUUUUAUUCCAUAAAAAUUGUGAGAGGAAAUAUAUAAUGAUAGACAAAAAACUAUGUUAAACAAGUUUGGAUGGUUUAAAUUAUAGAAUUAUUUUGGUUGAUGGUAGAGACGGUUUCAAAUCCCGCGGCAGAGCGCGGGCAUUCCUGCUAGUUUUUAAUCUAAAACUGAAGAGGCGGUGGCAAUCUUGUAAAUAAACUAAAAUGUGGUUCAAAAUACUGUUCAUUUAUACGGUGCAAUUGAAAAGCCUUCUUUAGACUAAAGUAAUUUGAAUCUGAUUGCUCAAUUUUCUCCAGAAAUAAAUGAAAAUUUGAAAGUAAAAACAAAAAUAUUCAUGGAGAAGCAGUCCGUUAAAGCCCAAGAAAAUUAUUUCUGCACCCUAAUCCUGGUACCCAAUGCAGCCCAACGUUUCAGCCCAUAGGGUUUACAAAACUAGGGUUUUCUCAUAGAGUCUAUAAAUUGCCUCUUUCACAACUGCCAUCCCCAAAUCGAAGCAUCUGCUCACCUUCUCCUCCUUCAAGUCCAUAGCCGCUUCAACAACCCCCAUCCCACCCAAUCCCCGUUUCCCUUCAUAACUCAUAAUUUCUGUGUUUCCAUGUAAUUAUCUGUAAUGAUGGCCUUGAUGAAGCUCUUUGUGCCAAAGGCGGCAGCUUUCGAGCUCCGUCGAUGACGGUCACAACCCUCUAAGAAGUUCUGAGCCUCCUUUUAUUCUAUUGGUUUCAUGUUUUAGUUUGUUUGAUGAUUUUUUAAGCUGUUUUAGGAACUGGUUUUGAUCGAAGAAAGCGAGGUGACGAUAGAAAUUCAUGUCUGUCAAUCCACUGACUGGUAACAGUUUGAUGUUGCUGUGAAUCCCGACAGGUUCCGAUCGCUUUCUUUCUAAAUUCCAUUUCUUUUCACACUUCAAAUUUCACUCCCACACACAACCCCACUCGUUUUGUUAUUUCUUCUUUAAAAGAAUGUGGGCAGGUGAUGAAUCAAAUUGGUAUUUAUGGGUAAUUUGCGUCUGAAUUUCAUUGAUGUUUUAUCUAUCACCUUGGAGAACUGAUGCCCUUGUUCUUUCUUUUUUAUAGUUCUUGUCUUAUUUUGUUAAAUUUGAUAAUUUAUGGUCUGUGAUGAUAAAUCCAAAGGCUUGUUUCUCAAGAACAUUCGCAGUGGCCGCCUAAGAGCUUUCGCCUUUUGCCGGGCUUGAGAGCUUAUGCUUCUUUUUUCCUUCCUUGGAUGUCUGAGAAA